GAGUUUGAUCUUGGCUCAGAUUGAACGCUGGCGGCAGGCCUAACACAUGCAAGUCGAGCGGUAGAGAGAAGCUUGCUUCUCUUGAGAGCGGCGGACGGGUGAGUAAUGCCUAGGAAUCUGCCUGGUAGUGGGGGAUAACGCUCGGAAACGGACGCUAAUACCGCAUACGUCCUACGGGAGAAAGCAGGGGACCUUCGGGCCUUGCGCUAUCAGAUGAGCCUAGGUCGGAUUAGCUAGUUGGUGAGGUAAUGGCUCACCAAGGCGACGAUCCGUAACUGGUCUGAGAGGAUGAUCAGUCACACUGGAACUGAGACACGGUCCAGACUCUACGGGAGGCAGCAGUGGGGAAUAUUGGACAAUGGGCGAAAGCCUGAUCCAGCCAUGCCGCGUGUGUGAAGAAGGUCUUCGGAUUGUAAAGCACUUUAAGUUGGGAGGAAGGGCAGUAAAUUAAUACUUUGCUGUUUUGACGUUUACCGACAGAAUAAGCACCGGCU
This 494-nucleotide ribosomal RNA is filed under the name uncultured bacterium. RNAcentral's name for it is "bacterial SSU rRNA". It matches the Rfam family "Bacterial small subunit ribosomal RNA", at positions 9 to 498 of the family's 1533-position model. The record is from RNAcentral.